GACGAACGCUGGCGGCGUGCUUAACACAUGCAAGUCGAACGGAAAGGCCCUGCUUUUGUGGGGUGCUCGAGUGGCGAACGGGUGAGUAACACGUGAGUAACCUGCCCUUGACUUUGGGAUAACUUCAGGAAACUGGGGCUAAUACCGGAUAGGAGCUCCUGCUGCAUGGUGGGGGUUGGAAAGUUUCGGCGGUUGGGGCUGGACUCGCGGCUUAUCCGCUUGUUGGUGGGGUUGUGGCUUACCAAGGCUUUGACGGGUAGCCGGCCUGAGAGGGUGACCGGCCACAGUGGGACUGGGAUACGGCCCAGACUCCUACGGGAGGCAGCAGUGGGGAAUAUUGCACAAUGGGCGGAAGCCGGAUGCAGCAACGCCGCGUGCGGGAUGACGGCCUUCGGGUUGUAAACCGCUUUCGCCUGUGACGAAGCGUGAGUGACGGAAAUGGGUAAAGAAGCACCGGCUAACUACGU
RNAcentral lists this ribosomal RNA (467 nucleotides) under uncultured bacterium. Its description in RNAcentral is "partial 16S ribosomal RNA". It matches the Rfam family "Bacterial small subunit ribosomal RNA", at positions 28 to 506 of the family's 1533-position model. The record is from RNAcentral.